RNAcentral lists this unclassified non-coding RNA (1379 nucleotides) under Zea mays. RNAcentral describes it as "misc RNA Zm00001eb417360". The record is from RNAcentral. Lineage: Eukaryota; Viridiplantae; Streptophyta; Magnoliopsida; Poales; Poaceae.
CGCACACACGCUAUCCCCCCAACUGCUGCACAUUUGCACUCUUCGCCUGUAUAAUAAAUACAGACCCAGCCGCGCAAAUCUUUCAUCCCCUCAACUCUACGUCUCUCUCUACCUACUCUCGGUCACCACACCUCGCUCGAAAACAAAACUGAUCAACAGCAUUGUUGGUGACGAUGAGCUCGACGUGGCUGGCUUUUGCAUGGGCGGCGGCCGCCCUCGUCGUGGCGGCGGCCACGGCGCACGCCCCGCACCACCCGUCGUCGCUGCAGGUCGGUUUCUACAAGCACUCGUGCCCACAGGCCGAGGACAUCGUGCGCAACGCCGUCCGCCGCGGUCUGGUCCGCGACCCGGGCGUUGGCGCGGGACUCAUCCGCAUGCACUUCCACGACUGCUUCGUCCGGGGCUGCGACGCCUCAAUCCUCAUCAACUCCACGCCGGGCAACCUAGCCGAGAAGGACUCCGUGGCCAACAACCCCAGCAUGCGCGGCUUCGACGUCAUCGACGACGCCAAGGCCGCCCUCGAGGCGCACUGCCCGCGCACCGUCUCCUGCGCCGACAUCGUCGCGUUCGCGGCCCGCGACAGCGCCUGCUCCGCCGGCGGCCUCGAGUACGAGGUCCCCUCGGGGCGCCGCGACGGCCGAGUUUCCAGACAAGACGAGGUGCUCGACAACAAUGUCCCCACACCGACCGACGUCGUCGCCGAGCUCAUCGAGAGCUUCAAGCGCAAGGGGCUGUCCGCCGACGACAUGGUCACGCUCUCCGGCGCGCACACCAUCGGCCGCUCCCACUGCUCCUCCUUCACGCAGCGGCUAUACAACUUCAGCGGGCAGCUGGGGUGGACGGACCCGUCCCUCGACCCCGCCUACGCCGGGCACCUCAAGGCGCGGUGCCCUUGGCCGUCCAGCGACGACCAGAUGGACCCCACGGUGGUGCCGCAGGACCCAGUCACGCCGGCGACCUUCGACAACCAGUACUUCAAGAACGUGCUUGCGCACAAGGUCCUGUUCGUCUCCGACAACACGCUGCUCGACAACCCCUGGACGGCCGGGAUCGUCCAAUUUAACGCCGCAGUCGAGAAGGCGUGGCAGGUCAGGUUCGCCAAGGCCAUGGUCAAGAUGGGCAAGGUGCAGGUGCUCACCGGCGAUGAGGGAGAGAUCAGGGAAAAGUGCUUCGUCGUCAACCCACACUACUAGCUAUUGCAACUACAUACUUCGAGAGACUACCUAUAGAGCUAAAAAUAGAGAUUUUGAAGAGAGAGAAAAAAAAGUACUCUCGCGAGUGCAAAUAAGACUCUUGUAGACGCUCGUAUUACUCUCCGUGGAAAUCUCUAGCCAGAAAUCAUUAAUAUAAUAAAGGACAAGUGGCACGUCUAUCACCGC